RNAcentral lists this ribosomal RNA (436 nucleotides) under uncultured bacterium. RNAcentral describes it as "bacterial SSU rRNA". It matches the Rfam family "Bacterial small subunit ribosomal RNA", at positions 343 to 796 of the family's 1533-position model. The record is from RNAcentral.
UGGAGGCAGCAGUGGGGAAUAUUGCACAAUGGGGGAAACCCUGAUGCAGCGACGCCGCGUGGAGGAAGAAGGUCUUCGGAUUGUAAACUCCUGUUGUUGAGGAAGAUAAUGACGGUACUCAACAAGGAAGUGACGGCUAACUACGUGCCAGCAGCCGCGGUAAAACGUAGGUCACAAGCGUUGUCCGGAAUUACUGGGUGUAAAGGGAGCGCAGGCGGGAAGACAAGUUGGAAGUGAAAUCUAUGGGCUCAACCCAUAAACUGCUUUCAAAACUGUUUUUCUUGAGUAGUGCAGAGGUAGGCGGAAUUCCCGGUGUAGCGGUGGAAUGCGUAGAUAUCGGGAGGAACACCAGUGGCGAAGGCGGCCUACUGGGCACCAACUGACGCUGAGGCUCGAAAGUGUGGGUAGCAAACAGGAUUAGAUACCCGGGUAGUCC